AUAAAUGUGUAAUGAAGGUGGGAACUGUGCCUCAUAAUUCACUUUGAAGCACAUCUAGCAACUCAUCAUAUUUAAAUAGUCAUUUCAGAGAUGUUUCAUAUACUCUGUUUUCUAGGACUGGAGUGUCAUAUCUCAGCUUCUCGCCCCUUGAUCUCCAUAUGCCUGUCUCCACGAGGCUGUCCAGAAACCAGAUUACCCAGGGGCUGGCUCCCUUGCCCUCUGGCUUCUGGUUGGACUCAGCCAAUAAUAGGUACCACCUGGACAUUGAAGGUGGAAAGGGAGAGAUAACAGGGAGGAAAUGGCAUGAAUGAGACUUGAAGCUAAAAAUGCACUUGCUGAUUUGAAGAACAUUAACUGUGGCUGUUUGUGACCUGGCUGGAAAGGACAACCCAUCAUCACAUCUACUGGUAAACUUAUGGUAUCCAGAAAAAGCCAAAGGACUCUAUUGCAAGACAGCAUCACCUGGCUGCAGAGACUUACUAAAUAAAUGCUACUACUUUCAAAUACACCAAGGAAUAAAAGAAUUUAUAUUU
Molecule: long non-coding RNA, 533 nt
Organism: Homo sapiens (human)
Lineage: Eukaryota; Metazoa; Chordata; Mammalia; Primates; Hominidae
Product: long intergenic non-protein coding RNA 1877
Source: Ensembl